UCUGCGCACGUAGCCCAUCUUCUGGAAGCUCUUCAGGAGGAGGUCGUCUGAGAGCACGCCUUUCAGCACGUGCACGUAGCCCCCGGAGAAGGUCUGCAAGGGAGCGGCCAGGUUCAAGCGAUCUUCCUGCCUCAGCCUCCUGAGUAGCUGGGAUUACAGUCUUGCAGACAAGGACGGAAGCUGUAACGUUCAUUCCUCCUGCUGUGUAGUAUUCCACCAUGGGGGUGACACGUCUGUUUUCAGCGCUCUCCAGAGGCUGUCCAUGCACUGGGCUGACAGCCGUGGGACGGUAGAAGGAGACGGGGUUUCACCAUGUUGGUUAGGCUGGUGUCAAUCUCCUGACCUCGUGAUCUGCCCACCUCGGCCUCCCAAAGAGCUGGGAUUACAGGCGUGAGUCACCGCGCCCGGCCUGGGUGAGUGCUUUCUGGCCUACACUUAGGUGAAGAACUAAAGGAGCUCAGGACAAUCACUGCGAGCAUCUCCUGACUCUCAAAUUCCCUAACUCCGGGACUCCUAGCAUCUAAUGCCUGGACACGGCCCACGUGUGGAGCGCCCAGUGCCUGCAGCACUGAGCUCGGGGCUUCGAUUCAUUCCUCUGGCUCCAUGAACUGGACUGUUCCCGUGUCGCUGUCUCAGAGGAGGAAAGGGGCUGACAGAGAUUAGCUAAUUUGGCCAAGUCCUCGCGGCCAGGAGGCAGCAGAACUAGGUCCAAACCAGGGCUGUCCGGCACUGAAGCCGGUUAUUCCCCCGCCCCGCCCCCUGGGAGGCCUCAAGGGCGGGCCUGUCCGUCCUCUCUCAUGAAUGAAAGUCCUGGCGCCUCCG
Pan troglodytes (chimpanzee) is the source of this 822-nucleotide long non-coding RNA. RefSeq lists it as uncharacterized. The record is from RefSeq and is a predicted model, not a curated record. The transcript is spliced from 4 exons. Lineage: Eukaryota; Metazoa; Chordata; Mammalia; Primates; Hominidae.